This 305-nucleotide ribosomal RNA is filed under the name uncultured bacterium. RNAcentral describes it as "bacterial SSU rRNA". It matches the Rfam family "Bacterial small subunit ribosomal RNA", at positions 333 to 654 of the family's 1533-position model. The record is from RNAcentral.
GUUGACCUACGGGGCGCAGCAGUGGGGAAUAUUGCGCAAUGGGGGCAACCCUGACGCAGCAACGCCGCGUGAUUGAAGAAGGCCUUCGGGUUGUAAAGAUCUUUAAUCGGGGACGAAUUUCAACGGUACCCGAAGAAUAAGCUCCGGCUAACUACGUGCCAGCAGCCGCGGUAAUACGUAGGGAGCAAGCGUUAUCCGGAUUUACUGGGUGUAAAGGGCGUGUAGGCGGGCAUGCAAGCCAGAAGUGAAAUCUGGGGGCUUAACCCCCAAACUGCUUUUGGAACUGCGUGUCUUGAGUGCUGGAG